GAUGAACGCUGGCGGCGUGCCUAAUACAUGCAAGUCGAGCGAACGGACGAGAAGCUUGCUUCUCUGAUGUUAGCGGCGGACGGGUGAGUAACACGUGGAUAACCUGCCUAUAAGACUGGGAUAACUUCGGGAAACCGGAGCUAAUACCGGAUAAUAUUUUGAACCGCAUGGUUCAAAAGUGAAAGACGGUCUUGCUGUCACCUAUAGGUGGAUCCGCGCUGCAUUAGGUAGUUGGUAAGGUAACGGAUUACCAAGGCAACGAUGCAUAGCCGACCUGAGAGGUUGAUCGGCCACACUGGACCUGAGACACGGUCCAGACUCCUACGGGAGGCAGCAGUAGGGAAUCUUCCGCAAUGGGCGAAAGCCUGACGGAGCAACGCCGCGUGAGUUAUGAAGUUCUUCGGAUCGUAAAACUCUGUUAUUAGGAAAGAACAUAUGUGUAAGUAACUGUGCACACCUUGACGGUACCUAAUCAGAAAGCCACGGCUAACUACGUG
This 497-nucleotide ribosomal RNA is filed under the name uncultured bacterium. RNAcentral's name for it is "partial 16S ribosomal RNA". It matches the Rfam family "Bacterial small subunit ribosomal RNA", at positions 28 to 507 of the family's 1533-position model. The record is from RNAcentral.